Molecule: ribosomal RNA, 1191 nt
Filed under: Brevundimonas mediterranea
Lineage: Bacteria; Pseudomonadati; Pseudomonadota; Alphaproteobacteria; Caulobacterales; Caulobacteraceae
Description: bacterial SSU rRNA
Rfam family: Bacterial small subunit ribosomal RNA
Source: RNAcentral
GGGGUGAGUACACGUGGGGAACGUGCCUUUAGGUUCGGAAUAACUCAGGGAAACUUGUGCUAAUACCGAAUGUGCCCUUCGGGGGAAAGAUUUAUCGCCUUUAGAGCGGCCCGCGUCUGAUUAGCUAGUUGGUGAGGUAAAGGCUCACCAAGGCGACGAUCAGUAGCUGGUCUGAGAGGAUGAUCAGCCACAUUGGGACUGAGACACGGCCCAAACUCCUACGGGAGGCAGCAGUGGGGAAUCUUGCGCAAUGGGCGAAAGCCUGACGCAGCCAUGCCGCGUGAAUGAUGAAGGUCUUAGGAUUGUAAAAUUCUUUCAGUAGGGACGAUAAUGACGGUACCUACAGAAGAAGCCCCGGCUAACUUCGUGCCAGCAGCCGCGGUAAUACGAAGGGGGCUAGCGUUGCUCGGAAUUACUGGGCGUAAAGGGAGCGUAGGCGGACAUUUAAGUCAGGGGUGAAAUCCCGGGGCUCAACCUCGGAAUUGCCNUUUGAUACUGGGUGUCUUGAGUGUGAGAGAGGUAUGUGGAACUCCGAGUGUAGAGGUGAAAUUCGUAGAUAUUCGGAAGAACACCAGUGGCGAAGGCGACAUACUGGCUCAUUACUGACGCUGAGGCUCGAAAGCGUNGGGGAGCAAACAGGAUUAGAUACCCUNGGUAGUCCACGCCGUAAACGAUGAUUGCUAGUUGUCNGGGAUGCAUNGCAUUUCGGUGACGCAGCUAACGCAUUAAGNNCAAUCCGCCUGGGGAGUACGGUCGCAAGAUUAAAACUCAAAGGAAUUGACNGGGGGCCCGCACAAGCGGUGGANGCAUNGUGGUUUAAUUCGAAGCAACGCGCAGAACCUUACCACCUUUUGACAUGCCUGGACCGCCAGAGAGAUCUGGCUUUCCCUUCGGGGACUAGGACACAGGUGCUGCAUGGCUGUCGUCAGCUCGUGUCGUGAGAUGUUGGGUUAAGUCCCGCAACGAGCGCAACCCUCGCCAUUAGUUGCCAUCAUUUAGUUGGGAACUCUAAUGGGACUGCCGGUGCUAAGCCGGAGGAAGGUGGGGAUGACGUCAAGUCCUCAUGGCCCUUACAGGGUGGGCUACACACGUGCUACAAUGGCGACUACAGAGGGUUAAUCCUUAAAAGUCGUCUCAGUUCGGAUUGUCCUCUGCAACUCGAGGGCAUGAAGUUGGAAUCGCUAGUAAUCG